CUCUUCACCGUUUGGUCCAAUUAGUUUCACCCUGUAUACAUUUGCCAUCGCAGAAACUCUGAAGGAGGAAGACUUCAAGCCAAAUGCUUUAGAUACAUUCUUUACAGAACCCAAAGAACAUGAACUCUUGAUCAAGGCACAAGAUCUGCUUGGGCUUGUAACUUUGCUAGGGGGUGAACUUCUGAUAAAGCAUGAUGUGGGAAGUCUCACAGUGGACAUGUUU
RNAcentral lists this unclassified non-coding RNA (223 nucleotides) under Hevea brasiliensis (rubber tree). Lineage: Eukaryota; Viridiplantae; Streptophyta; Magnoliopsida; Malpighiales; Euphorbiaceae. The record is from RNAcentral.